AAGGUACACACCAAGAGGGAGGUUUGCCCUGUCCCCUUAUGAGAUCCUGUUUGGAUCAGCCCCUAGACUUGGAUGCUUUUUCCCCCAACAACUCCAGCUCCAUUCUGAUAUACUGGUUGACUAUGUUACUGCUCUCUCCUGAGCGUUGACCAAAAUCCAUGCACAAGUGUUUUCUUCCAUUCCAGAUCCAGAGUCUGAUACAAGCACCUACCAAUUGCUUCCUGGUGAUUGGGUUCUGGUUAAGAAAUUUGUGAGGAAACACGCCCUUGAGCCUAGAUAUGAUGGUCCAUUCCAAGUCCUCUUAGUCACAG
Pelobates cultripes (western spadefoot toad) is the source of this 311-nucleotide non-coding RNA. The record is from the annotation of a GenBank genome assembly. NCBI's taxonomy places the organism in Eukaryota, Metazoa, Chordata, Amphibia, Anura, Pelobatidae.